This 496-nucleotide ribosomal RNA is filed under the name uncultured bacterium. RNAcentral describes it as "bacterial SSU rRNA". It matches the Rfam family "Bacterial small subunit ribosomal RNA", at positions 28 to 516 of the family's 1533-position model. The record is from RNAcentral.
GAUGAACGCUAGCUACAGGCUUAACACAUGCAAGUCGAGGGGCAGCACAAGGCAGCAAUGCUGAGGUGGCGACCGGCGCACGGGUGCGUAACGCGUAUCCAACCUUCCCGUUACUCUUGGAUAGCCUUCCGAAAGGGAGAUUAAUACAAGAUGGUGUUGAAAUUCCGCAUGUUAUUUCAACUAAAGAUUUAUCGGUAACGGAUGGGGAUGCGUGACAUUAGAUAGUAGGCGGGGUAACGGCCCACCUAGUCUACGAUGUCUAGGGGUUCUGAGAGGAAGGUCCCCCACACUGGAACUGAGACACGGUCCAGACUCCUACGGGAGGCAGCAGUGAGGAAUAUUGGUCAAUGGCCGGAAGGCUGAACCAGCCAAGUAGCGUGAAGGAUGAAAGGUUCUAUGGGAUUGUAAACUUCUUUUAUGAGGGAAUAAAACCUCCACGUGUGGGAGCUUGUAUGUACCUUAUGAAUAAGCAUCGGCUAACUCCGUGCCAGCAGCC